Molecule: unclassified non-coding RNA, 580 nt
Filed under: Hevea brasiliensis (rubber tree)
Lineage: Eukaryota; Viridiplantae; Streptophyta; Magnoliopsida; Malpighiales; Euphorbiaceae
Source: RNAcentral
GCUGCCAGUUUCUGGGGAAUCAUACAUAGACAGCACCAUGUUGCUGCAUAUGGAUGUUUAUGAGAAAAUAGGCCAUACAUAUACUCUGUUACAGCAGCACCCUGAUACCCCAGCUACUGAACACCCCACCACUUUUGCAACUGCUGAACCACAACCAACCUCUACCCCACACUUCUCAGCAGACAUGUUAUCCAUCUUAAAAUCCUUGGAAUCCAGGAUAACAAAUUUCACUGUCCAACCAUCUGCUCCCUCACCUGAUACCACAGAAAUUCUUGCUUCCUUGAAAAACUUAGAAAUCAAAAUUGAAGCCAUGGGUCAAGAGCAAGUUAACCAAAAGAAGAAGCUAGAAAAGAAACUUAAAAAGAGAUUUUUAUCUCUUAAAAAGAAACAGAAGCAACAUCAACUUCAAAUGUUGGAGCUUUACAACAAACUGGCCCAAUCCUACAACAACUUAUAUCAUUGGGGCCAAACCAUGUUUCAAGAAAUGAAAGACCUCACAGAAAAUUUGGAAACUGCUUCUGAAGCUUCAGAUCACAAUGAACCUACCGCAGAACCUGAAGCAGACCCUGAUACAGCAACC